RNAcentral lists this ribosomal RNA (484 nucleotides) under uncultured bacterium. RNAcentral describes it as "partial 16S ribosomal RNA". It matches the Rfam family "Bacterial small subunit ribosomal RNA", at positions 28 to 523 of the family's 1533-position model. The record is from RNAcentral.
GACGAACGCUGGCGGCGUGCUCAACACAUGCAAGUCGAACGAUGAAAGCUGGAGCUUGCUCCGGCUGGAUUAGUGGCGAACGGGUGAGUAACACGUGAGCAAUCUGCCCUUGACUCUGGGAUAACUCUGAGAAAUCGGUGCUAAUACCGGAUAUGACCCUUGGCGGCAUCGCUGGGGGUGGAAAGUUUUUCGGUCAAGGAUGAGCUCGCGGCCUAUCAGCGUGUUGGUGAGGUAAUGGCUCACCAAGGCGACGACGGGUAGCCGGCCUGAGAGGGUGACCGGCCGCACUGGGACUGAGACACGGCCCAGACUCCUACGGGAGGCAGCAGUGGGGAAUAUUGCACAAUGGGCGCAAGCCUGAUGCAGCAACGCCGCGUGGGGAUGACGGCCUUCGGGUUGUAAACCUCUUUUAGCAGGGAAGAAGCGAAAGUGACGGUACCUGCAGAAAAAGCACCGGCUAACUACGUGCCAGCCGCCGCAGUAA